RNAcentral lists this long non-coding RNA (351 nucleotides) under Homo sapiens (human). RNAcentral describes it as "non-protein coding MIR3681HG:2". The record is from RNAcentral. Lineage: Eukaryota; Metazoa; Chordata; Mammalia; Primates; Hominidae.
AGAGGAUCCAGUGUGAAACCCAUGAAAUUGUGAUCAACCAGAAUCCAGAACACGCUGUGCUUAAUGGAGUGAACUGCCUGUGAAGCGCAGGUGUGAGGGGCGGAUGAUAAGUGACAGUGCCGGUGCCCCCAGCGCCCUUUUACCUGAUGGCUCACCCGGCCUACAGCUGCGCCCUUCCCUUUGAAUCGUCUUGGGUAACGGGUGCUGCUUUGGAAAUGCCUGGAAGGUCAUGUCCUUUGUCUGGGGAUGGCUUCCAGCUGUGGUUGACUGAUAGCAGGGGGCACAGAAGGCCAGACACAACUUGCCUCAGGUGGGCCGACUCUGAGGGUUUGUUCGGCCUCCACGUGGACU